RNAcentral lists this ribosomal RNA (627 nucleotides) under uncultured Russulaceae. RNAcentral's name for it is "LSU rRNA". It matches the Rfam family "Eukaryotic large subunit ribosomal RNA", at positions 47 to 649 of the family's 3401-position model. Lineage: Eukaryota; Fungi; Basidiomycota; Agaricomycetes; Russulales; Russulaceae. The record is from RNAcentral.
UAAGCGGAGGAAAAGNAACUAACANGGAUUCCCCUAGUAACUGCGAGUGAAGCGGGAAAAGCUCAAAUUUAAANUCUGGUGGUCUUUGGCCAUCCGAGUUGUAAUUUAGAGAAGCGUCUUCCGCGCUGGACCGUGCACAAGUCUCCUGGAAUGGAGCGUCAUAGAGGGUGAGAAUCCCGUCUUUGGCAUGGACACACCAGGGCUUUUGUGAUGCGCUCUCGAAGAGUCGAGUUGUUUGGGAAUGCAGCUCAAAAUGGGUGGUGAACUCCAUCUAAAGCUAAAUAUUGGCGAGAGACCGAUAGCGAACAAGUACCGUGAGGGAAAGAUGAAAAGCACUUUGGAAAGAGAGUGAAACAGUACGUGAAAUUGUUGAAAGGGAAACGCUUGAAGUCAGUCACGUCGACCGAGACUUAGCCUUGCCUCGGCUUGGUGUACUUCUCGGCUGACGGGUCAGCAUCAAUUUUGCCCCUUGGAUAAUGGCGAGGGAAAUGUGACACCUUUAUGGUGUGUUAUAGUCUCUCGUCGCAUGCAAGGGUUGGGAUUGAGGAACUCAGCACGCGCCUUUUGGUGUCGGGGCUUUGCCCACGAUACGUGCUUAGGAUGUUGGCAUAAUGGCUUUAAACGACC